This 643-nucleotide ribosomal RNA is filed under the name uncultured Lachnospiraceae bacterium. RNAcentral's name for it is "bacterial SSU rRNA". It matches the Rfam family "Bacterial small subunit ribosomal RNA", at positions 69 to 727 of the family's 1533-position model. The record is from RNAcentral. Lineage: Bacteria; Bacillati; Bacillota; Clostridia; Lachnospirales; Lachnospiraceae.
GAAGCUUCGGCAGAUUUAGAUUGUUUCUAGUGGCGGACGGGUGAGUAGCGCGUGGGUAACCUGCCUUGUACAGGGGGAUAACAGUCAGAAAUGACUGCUAAUACCGCAUAAGCGCACAGGACCGCAUGGUCCGGUGUGAAAAACUCCGGUGGUAUAAGAUGGACCCGCGUUGGAUUAGCUAGUUGGUGAGGUAACGGCCCACCAAGGCGACGAUCCAUAGCCGGCCUGAGAGGGUGAACGGCCACAUUGGGACUGAGACACGGCCCAGACUCCUACGGGAGGCAGCAGUGGGGAAUAUUGCACAAUGGGGGAAACCCUGAUGCAGCGACGCCGCGUGAAGGAAGAAGUAUCUCGGUAUGUAAACUUCUAUCAGCAGGGAAGAAAAUGACGGUACCUGACUAAGAAGCCCCGGCUAACUACGUGCCAGCAGCCGCGGUAAUACGUAGGGGGCAAGCGUUAUCCGGAUUUACUGGGUGUAAAGGGAGCGUAGACGGAUGGACAAGUCUGAUGUGAAAGGCUGGGGCUCAACCCCGGGACUGCAUUGGAAACUGCCCGUCUUGAGUGCCGGAGAGGUAAGCGGAAUUCCUAGUGUAGCGGUGAAAUGCGUAGAUAUUAGGAGGAACACCAGUGGCGAAGGCGGCUU